This is a long non-coding RNA of Biomphalaria glabrata, 388 nucleotides long. RefSeq lists it as uncharacterized. The record is from RefSeq and is a predicted model, not a curated record. The transcript has 3 exons. Lineage: Eukaryota; Metazoa; Mollusca; Gastropoda; Planorbidae.
UACGUAAUUACGCCUCUAAGAUGAUUGCCAGAAUCGAUUACAAACCAAAAGCUGAGGCUUAAAAGACAGCCCGCUUCUGACACCACACAGAUUCUUGCAACGUAAUGCAGCUACAUCACAUCUACAAUAUGUUAGUUCAAAGUGUUGUACCCUCGCUUGUCUUGACCAUUCUUUCGGUCAGUUCGACCGAUGGGUGUUAUUCUUCUGAUUUCAAGCUGGUAGAAAGAAACUUAGUGGAAGAGCUAUUGGCGGAGAGAAAUUUGGACAAAGAGUAUGCCUCUCUGGUUCUCAAUGACAAAAGAUAUCUUGAGCUAAAAUAUGAGUUAUACAAAUCGGAACAUUUUUUAAAAGCUGAUGCGUGGCGAGAAUGGAUAAAGCAAGGUCAUGG